UAUAUUAAGUUGUUGCAGUUAAAAAGCUCGUAGUUGAAUUUCGAGACCGGUUUACUGGUCGUGCUUUUGUACGUACUGGUAUAAUCGGUUUCUCUCUUCUGACGAACUAUAAUGCCAUUAAUUUGGUGUUUUAGGGAAUCAGGACUGUUACUUUGAAAAAAUUAGA
This 166-nucleotide ribosomal RNA is filed under the name Dominikia sp. RNAcentral's name for it is "partial small subunit ribosomal RNA". The record is from RNAcentral. Lineage: Eukaryota; Fungi; Glomeromycota; Glomeromycetes; Glomerales; Glomeraceae.